GGCUGGGUAGCUCAGCUGGUUAGAGCGCACGACUCAUAAUCGUGAGGUCGCGGGAUCGAGCCCCGCUCCAGCUA
Molecule: transfer RNA, 74 nt
Filed under: Aurantimicrobium minutum
Lineage: Bacteria; Bacillati; Actinomycetota; Actinomycetes; Micrococcales; Microbacteriaceae
Description: tRNA-Met
Rfam family: tRNA
About the family: Transfer RNA (tRNA) molecules are approximately 80 nucleotides in length. Their secondary structure includes four short double-helical elements and three loops (D, anti-codon, and T loops). Further hydrogen bonds mediate the characteristic L-shaped molecular structure. tRNAs have two regions of fundamental functional importance: the anti-codon, which is responsible for specific mRNA codon recognition, and the 3' end, to which the tRNAs corresponding amino acid is attached (by aminoacyl-tRNA synthetases). tRNAs cope with the degeneracy of the genetic code in two manners: having more than one tRNA (with a specific anti-codon) for a particular amino acid; and 'wobble' base-pairing, i.e. permitting non-standard base-pairing at the 3rd anti-codon position.
Source: RNAcentral